Molecule: non-coding RNA, 25 nt
Filed under: Cricetulus griseus (Chinese hamster)
Lineage: Eukaryota; Metazoa; Chordata; Mammalia; Rodentia; Cricetidae
Source: RNAcentral
CACGUCGUACUGUGUUGCUGUUACC